CGGAGGGUGCAAGCGUUGUCCGGAUUUAUUGGGUUUAAAGGGUGCGUAGGCGGCUUUUUAAGUCAGUGGUGAAAUCCUCCAGCUUAACUGGAGUCGUGCCAUUGAUACUGGGAAGCUUGAGUACAGGCGAGGUUGGCGGAAUUGAAGGUGUAGCGGUGAAAUGCAUAGAUAUCUUCAAGAACACCGAUUGCGAAGGCAGCUAACUAGACUGUAACUGACGCUGAGGCACGAAAGUGUGGGGAUCGAACAGGAUUAGAUACCCUGGUAGUCCACACUGUAAACGAUGAUCACUCGAUGUGUGCGAUAUACAGUACGCGUCCAAGCAAAAGCGUUAAGUGAUCCACCUGGGGAGUACGCCCGCAAGGGUG
RNAcentral lists this ribosomal RNA (368 nucleotides) under uncultured organism. Its description in RNAcentral is "bacterial SSU rRNA". It matches the Rfam family "Bacterial small subunit ribosomal RNA", at positions 526 to 896 of the family's 1533-position model. The record is from RNAcentral.